RNAcentral lists this ribosomal RNA (60 nucleotides) under Weissella cibaria. RNAcentral's name for it is "partial 23S ribosomal RNA". Lineage: Bacteria; Bacillati; Bacillota; Bacilli; Lactobacillales; Lactobacillaceae. The record is from RNAcentral.
GAUAGGUUAAGUUAUUAAGGGCGCAUGGUGGAUGCCUUGGCACUAGGAGCCGAUGAAGGA